Molecule: long non-coding RNA, 709 nt
Filed under: Rattus norvegicus (Norway rat)
Lineage: Eukaryota; Metazoa; Chordata; Mammalia; Rodentia; Muridae
Description: long non-coding RNA NONRATT020660
Source: RNAcentral
GGAAGAUAGAAGACUUAAGAGUUCUUUUCUGAUCUGUGCUGUUGCUUUCUAUGCGAGUCAUUUUAGAAGGAAGUAAGCAUCAACGAUAAUACUUCAGGGCUGACACUUCUUUUUUUUUUUUUUUUUGGUUCUUUUUUUCGGAGCUGGGGACCGAACCCAGGGCCUUGCGCUUCCUAGGUAAGCGCUCUACCACUGAGCUAAAUCCCCAGCCCCCAGGGCUGACACUUCUGAGGCAUUAAAAAGAAAACAACUUUUCUAAUAUUGUGAACAAAUAAAGUAGCUAUUUUGGUGGAUUUUUAGGUUUUAUUGAAUUAACCUUUUCUAAUGAGAAUUUUAGUUUAAGAUUUAGGUAAAGAUUGUUUAAUAAUUAUUGAAGGGCUAAUAAUGUGGUUCAGCAGAUAAAGGUGUUGCUACCAAACCUGAUGACCUGAGUUCAACCCCCAAACUGCAUGGGUAGGAGAGAAUUGACUCCUGAAAAUUGUCCUCUGACCUACGCGCGCGCGCACACACACACACACACACACACACACACAAUGUUUGAAAAAAAAAUCCAGAGGUGGUAGCACACAUCUUUAAUCCCAUAAUUUUGGUGGUUCUCUUGAGUUUGAGGCCAGCCUACAUACAGCCUAUACAGAAUGAGUUCCAGGGUAGCCAGGGCUCCACAGAAGAAAUCCUGUUUCAAAAAAAUUAAAAAAAAAAAUAAAAUAAA